ACUCCUACGGGAGACAGCAGUGGGGAAUAUUUGCACAAUGGGCGCAAGCCUGAUGCAGCCAUGCCGCGUGUAUGAAGAAGGCCUUCGGGUUGUAAAGUACUUUUCAGCAGUGAGGAAGGUGGGUAUGUUAAUAGCAUACUCAUUUGACGUUAGCUGCAGAAGAAGCACCGGCUAACUCCGUGCCAGCAGCCGCGGUAAUACGGAGGGUGCGAGCGUUAAUCGGAAUUACUGGGCGUAAAGCGCAUGCAGGUGGUUUGUUAAGUCAGAUGUGAAAGCCCGGGGCUCAACCUCGGAAUUGCAUUUGAAACUGGCAAAACUAGAGUACUGUAGAGGGGGGUAGAAUUUCAGGUGUAGCGGUGAAAUGCGUAGAGAUCUGAAGGAAUACCGGUGGCGAAGGCGGCCCCCUGGACAGAUACUGACACUCAGAUGCGAAAGCGUGGGGAGCAAACAGGAUUACGAUACCCUGGUAGGCUCU
Molecule: ribosomal RNA, 475 nt
Filed under: uncultured bacterium
Lineage: Bacteria
Description: bacterial SSU rRNA
Rfam family: Bacterial small subunit ribosomal RNA
Source: RNAcentral